RNAcentral lists this ribosomal RNA (481 nucleotides) under uncultured bacterium. Its description in RNAcentral is "partial 16S ribosomal RNA". It matches the Rfam family "Bacterial small subunit ribosomal RNA", at positions 28 to 507 of the family's 1533-position model. The record is from RNAcentral.
GAUGAACGCUGGCGGCGUGCCUAACACAUGCAAGUCGAACGGAGAUUACGGACGGAAGUUUUCGGACGGAAGCCUGUAAUUCUUAGUGGCGGACGGGUGAGUAACGCGUGGGCAACCUGCCCUAUACAGGGGGAUAGCAGCUGGAAACGGCUGGUAAGACCGCAUAAGUCGGUUAAAUCGCAUGAUUUGAUCGGGAAAUGAGCAAUCAGGUAUAGGAUGGGCCCGCGUCCGAUUAGCCAGUUGGCAGGGUAAAAGCCUACCAAAGCGACGAUCGGUAGCCGGACUGAGAGGUCGGACGGCCACAUUGGGACUGAGACACGGCCCAAACUCCUACGGGAGGCAGCAGUGGGGGAUAUUGCACAAUGGAGGAAACUCUGAUGCAGCGACGCCGCGUGAGUGAAGAAGUAUUUCGGUAUGUAAAGCUCUAUCAGCAGGGAAGAUGAUGACGGUACCUGACUAAGAAGCCCCGGCUAACUACGUG